ACGGAAGGCAGCAGUGGGGAAUAUUGCACAAUGGGGGGAACCCUGAUGCAGCCAUGCCGCGUGAAUGAAGAAGGCCUUCGGGUUGUAAAGUUCUUUCGGUAGCGAGGAAGGUAUCAAAUUUAAUAGAUUUGGUAAUUGACGUUAACUACAGAAGAAGCACCGGCUAACUCCGUGCCAGCAGCCGCGGUAAUACGGAGGGUGCGAGCGUUAAUCGGAAUAACUGGGCGUAAAGGGCACGCAGGCGGUUGAUUAAGUGAGAUGUGAAAGCCCCGAGCUUAACUUGGGAAUUGCAUUUCAUACUGGUCAACUAGAGUACUUUAGGGAGGGGUAGAAUUCCACGUGUAGCGGUGAAAUGCGUAGAGAUGUGGAGGAAUACCGAAGGCGAAGGCAGCCCCUUGGGAAUGUACUGACGCUCAUGUGCGAAAGCGUGGGGAGCAAACAGGAUUAGAUACCCUGGUA
Molecule: ribosomal RNA, 459 nt
Filed under: uncultured Actinobacillus sp.
Lineage: Bacteria; Pseudomonadati; Pseudomonadota; Gammaproteobacteria; Pasteurellales; Pasteurellaceae
Description: partial 16S ribosomal RNA
Rfam family: Bacterial small subunit ribosomal RNA
Source: RNAcentral